Molecule: ribosomal RNA, 468 nt
Filed under: uncultured bacterium
Lineage: Bacteria
Description: partial 16S ribosomal RNA
Rfam family: Bacterial small subunit ribosomal RNA
Source: RNAcentral
GACGAACGCUGGCGGCGUGCUUAACACAUGCAAGUCGAACGGAAAGGCCCUGCUUUUGUGGGGUGCUCGAGUGGCGAACGGGUGAGUAACACGUGAGUAACCUGCCCUUGACUUUGGGAUAACUUCAGGAAACUGGGGCUAAUACCGGAUAGGAGCUCCUGCUGCAUGGUGGGGGUUGGAAAGUUUCGGCGGUUGGGGAUGGACUCGCGGCUUAUCAGCUUGUUGGUGGGGUAGUGGCUUACCAGGGCUUUGACGGGUAGCCGGCCUGAGAGGGUGACCGGCCACAUUGGGACUGAGAUACGGCCCAGACUCUUACGGGAGGCAGCAGUGGGGAAUAUUGCACAAUGGGCGGAAGCCUGAUGCAGCAACGCCGCGUGCGGGAUGACGGCCUUCGGGUUGUAAACCGCUUUCGCCUGUGACGAAGCGUGAGUGACGGUAAUGGGUAAAGAAGCACCGGCUAACUACGUG